GGAGUAAUACCUCAGUGGUAGAGCACGUGCUUAGCAUGCAUAAGGUUCGGGGUUCAAUCCCCAGUAUUUCCA
RNAcentral lists this transfer RNA (72 nucleotides) under Camelus bactrianus (Bactrian camel). It matches the Rfam family "tRNA". Rfam says of the family: Transfer RNA (tRNA) molecules are approximately 80 nucleotides in length. RNAcentral also lists the same sequence under 2 other names. Lineage: Eukaryota; Metazoa; Chordata; Mammalia; Artiodactyla; Camelidae. The record is from Rfam by way of RNAcentral.